CAGUACGGCGAGUGAAGCGGCAAGAGCUCAAAUUUGAAAUCUGGCCCCCUCGGGGUCCGAGUUGUAAUUUGCAGAGGAUGCUUCGGGUGCGGCCCCCGUCUAAGUGCCCUGGAACGGGCCGUCAUAGAGGGUGAGAAUCCCGUCUGGGACGGGGUGUCCGCGUCCGUGUGAAGCUCCUUCGACGAGUCGAGUUGUUUGGGAAUGCAGCUCUAAAUGGGUGGUAAAUUUCAUCUAAAGCUAAAUACUGGCCGGAGACCGAUAGCGCACAAGUAGAGUGAUCGAAAGAUGAAAAGCACUUUGAAAAGAGAGUUAAAAAGCACGUGAAAUUGUUGAAAGGGAAGCGCUUGCGACCAGACUCGCCCGCGGGGUUCAGCCGGCAUUCGUGCCGGUGUACUUCCCCGCGGGCGGGCCAGCGUCGGUUUGGGCGGCCGGUCAAAGGCCCCCGGAAUGUAGCACCCUUCGGGGUGCCUUAUAGCCGGGGGUGCAAUGCGGCCAGCCUGGACCGAGGAACGCGCUUCGGCACGGACGCUGGCAUAAUGGUCGUAAACGACCCGUCUUGAACCACGGGACCCAC
Molecule: ribosomal RNA, 574 nt
Filed under: Aspergillus ochraceus
Lineage: Eukaryota; Fungi; Ascomycota; Eurotiomycetes; Eurotiales; Aspergillaceae
Description: partial large subunit ribosomal RNA
Rfam family: Eukaryotic large subunit ribosomal RNA
Source: RNAcentral